AAGAAGUGAACCAAGGAAUAUGUUCCCUCCUGCUAGAUCAAUGGAACAUGUGGGUCAGAGUACAAGAGAGUCAAUUAGGUCAGAGCCCCAGUUCCCAUAUCCACGACGGCAACCACCUCAAAAUAUGGGCCAGAAUCUGAGAGAGUCAGCUAGGUCUGAGCCACAGUUCCCAUAUCCUCAACGGCAACCUCCACAAAGUAUGGGCCAGAGUCCGCAAGAGUCAGUUAGGUCAGAGCCCCAGUUCCCAUAUCCACGAUGGCAACCACCUCAAAAUAUGGGCCAAAGUACAAGAGAGUCAGUUAGGUCAGAGCCCCAGUUCUCAUAUCCACUACGGCAACCACCUCAAAAUAUGAAUGCCUCAUCCUCAGUGCGAGACACAAAGCAAGUCG
RNAcentral lists this long non-coding RNA (389 nucleotides) under Durio zibethinus. Its description in RNAcentral is "long non-coding RNA (DZIB_LNC000710)". The record is from RNAcentral. Lineage: Eukaryota; Viridiplantae; Streptophyta; Magnoliopsida; Malvales; Malvaceae.